AUUGAACGCUGGCGGCAGGCUUAACACAUGCAAGUCGAGCGGGGGAAGGUAGCUUGCUACCGGACCUAGCGGCGGACGGGUGAGUAAUGCUUAGGAAUCUGCCUAUUAGUGGGGGACAACAUCUCGAAAGGGAUGCUAAUACCGCAUACGUCCUACGGGAGAAAGCAGGGGAUCUUCGGACCUUGCGCUAAUAGAUGAGCCUAAGUCGGAUUAGCUAGUUGGUGGGGUAAAGGCCUACCAAGGCGACGAUCUGUAGCGGGUCUGAGAGGAUGAUCCGCCACACUGGGACUGGGACACGGCCCAGACUCCUACGAGAGGUAGCAGUGGGGAAUAUUGGACAAUGGGGGGAACCCUGAUCCAGCCAUGCCGCGUGUGUGAAGAAGGCCUUAUGGUUGUAGAGCACUUUAAGCGAGGAGGAGGCUCUUUUGGUUAAUACCCAAGAUGAGUGGACGUUACUCGCAGAAUAAGCACCGGCUAACUCUGUGCCAGCCGCCGCCGUAA
This 501-nucleotide ribosomal RNA is filed under the name uncultured bacterium. Its description in RNAcentral is "partial 16S ribosomal RNA". It matches the Rfam family "Bacterial small subunit ribosomal RNA", at positions 30 to 523 of the family's 1533-position model. The record is from RNAcentral.